Molecule: long non-coding RNA, 182 nt
Organism: Cyprinus carpio (common carp)
Lineage: Eukaryota; Metazoa; Chordata; Actinopteri; Cypriniformes; Cyprinidae
Exons: 3
Source: RefSeq, a predicted model, not a curated record
ACUCUGUCCUUUCGCGCUGCACAGAAACCCCGUCCGGAACAUCGACACGACAAACACGAUCAUGUCUGAGAAAGGACAGAAGCAGAAAGGAAGCAGUGAGAGCUGCCAUCACUGCAAGCCAAAGACAUGCGCAAGCAUGGCCGUCCCUCCUGCGUACGCUGACCUCGGCAAUCUGCCAAAGA